UACGUAGGUGGCAAGCGUUGUCCGGAUUUACUGGGCGUAAAGAGCGCGCAGGCGGUCGUUCAAGUCACGUGUGAAAGCCCCCGGCUCAACUGGGGAGGGUCACGCGAUACUGAUCGACUCGAAGGCAGGAGAGGGUAGUGGAAUUCCCGGUGUAGUGGUGAAAUGCGUAGAUAUCGGGAGGAACACCAGUGGCGAAGGCGACUACCUGGCCUGUUUCUUGACGCUGAGGCGCGAAAGCUAGGGGAGCAAACGGG
RNAcentral lists this ribosomal RNA (254 nucleotides) under uncultured bacterium. RNAcentral's name for it is "partial 16S ribosomal RNA". It matches the Rfam family "Bacterial small subunit ribosomal RNA", at positions 524 to 776 of the family's 1533-position model. The record is from RNAcentral.